Molecule: ribosomal RNA, 253 nt
Filed under: uncultured bacterium
Lineage: Bacteria
Description: partial 16S ribosomal RNA
Rfam family: Bacterial small subunit ribosomal RNA
Source: RNAcentral
UACGGGGGGGGCAAGCGUUGUUCGGAAUUACUGGGCGUAAAGGGCGCGUAGGCGGCCAUCUAAGUCAGACGUGAAAUCCCUCGGCUCAACCGAGGAACUGCGUCUGAUACUGGAAGGCUUGAAUCCGGGAGAGGGAUGUGGAAUUCCAGGUGUAGCGGUGAAAUGCGUAGAUAUCGUAAGGAAGACCAGUGGCGAAGGCGGGUCUCUGGACAGUUCCUGACGCUGAGGCACGAAGGUCAGGGGAGCGAACAGG